Dreissena polymorpha is the source of this 412-nucleotide long non-coding RNA. RefSeq lists it as uncharacterized. The record is from RefSeq and is a predicted model, not a curated record. The transcript has 2 exons. NCBI's taxonomy places the organism in Eukaryota, Metazoa, Mollusca, Bivalvia, Myida, Dreissenidae.
GUCCGCUGUAGGCGUCGUGCUAAAACCUUAACAUUGGCUCUAAAAUCAAAGUGCUUCCACCUACAACUUUGAAACUUCAUAUGUAGAUGCACGUUGAUGAGUUCUACAUGCCACACCCAUUUUUGGGUCACUAGGUCAAAGGUCAAGGUCACUGUGACCUCUAAUAUAAAACUUUAACAUAGGCACUAAAAUCAAAGUGCUUCCACCUACAACUUUGAAACUUCAUAUGUAGAUGCACCUUGAUGAGUUCUACACGCCACAUCCAUUUUUGGGUCACUAGGUCAAAGGUCAAGGUCACUGUGACCUCUAAUAUAAAACUUUAACAUAGGCUCUAAAAUCAAAGUGCUUCCACCUACAACUUUGAAACUUCAUAUGUAGAUGCACCUUGAUGAGUUCUACACGCCACACCCAA